This 211-nucleotide non-coding RNA is filed under the name Proteiniborus sp. Its description in RNAcentral is "T-box sequence". It matches the Rfam family "T-box leader". From Rfam's summary of the family: Uncharged tRNA acts as the effector for transcription antitermination of genes in the T-box leader family. T-boxes are found upstream of many aminoacyl-tRNA synthetase genes and some amino acid biosynthetic genes usually in Gram-positive bacteria. The anticodon of a specific tRNA base pairs to a specifier sequence within the T-box motif, and the NCCA acceptor tail of the tRNA base pairs to a conserved bulge in the T-box antiterminator hairpin. Lineage: Bacteria; Bacillati; Bacillota; Clostridia; Eubacteriales. The record is from RNAcentral.
UGAAAUUCUAGGAUGAGGAAAGUAGGUUAUACUGAUUGUUAUAGCGAGUCAGGUUGGUGGGAGCUGACACAUAGGUAUAUCUGAAGAGAGCCUCGGAGGAGCUAUCUGAACUUAAGUAGGAUAUGCCGCUCCCCUGCGUUAAAGGGCUUGAGUGGGUAUACUUAUCUAUACCAAUUAGAGUGGUAACACGGGAUCAUAUCUCGUCUCUUUC